This 253-nucleotide ribosomal RNA is filed under the name uncultured bacterium. Its description in RNAcentral is "partial 16S ribosomal RNA". It matches the Rfam family "Bacterial small subunit ribosomal RNA", at positions 524 to 776 of the family's 1533-position model. The record is from RNAcentral.
UACGUAGGAUCCGAGCGUUGUCCGGAUUUACUGGGUGUAAAGGGUGCGCAGGCGGACUGGUGAGUCAGUGGUGAAAUCUCGUCGCUUAACGACGAAACUGCCUUUGAUACUAUCAGUCUUGAAUCCGGUAGAGAUCUGUGGAAUUCCGAGUGUAGCAGUGAAAUGUGUAGAUAUUCGGAAGAACACCAGUGGCGAAGGCAGCAGAGUGGGCCGGUACUGACGCUCAGGCACGAAAGCAUGGGGAGCAAACAGG